RNAcentral lists this ribosomal RNA (2492 nucleotides) under Candidatus Beckwithbacteria bacterium RIFCSPHIGHO2_02_FULL_49_13. Its description in RNAcentral is "bacterial LSU rRNA". The stretch from base 2 to 2064 matches the Rfam family "Bacterial large subunit ribosomal RNA", at positions 15 to 2044 of the family's 2925-position model. Lineage: Bacteria; Candidatus Beckwithiibacteriota. The record is from RNAcentral.
AAAGCAGUCGGUGGAUGCCUUGGAUGUAUUAGCCGAAGAAGGACGUGCCAGGCCACGAUAGGCGUCGGGGAGCUGCCAAGAAGCUGUGAUCCGGCGGUGUCCGAAUGGCAAAACCUCCUCAUUAGUAAUAGUGGGGGCCCAGACAACGCAAGCUUGUCGGGGGGGGAACCCGGGGAACUGAAAUAUCUAAGUACCCGGAGGAAAAGAAAUUAAAUAAGAUGCCGUCAGUAGCGACGAGCGAAAGCGGUCUAGUCCAAACUCCGACAUUACGUCGGAGGGUUGUAGGGCUCCAAUAUGGGACUACGAGAGAUAGUCGAACAACUCGGAAUAGUUGGCCAAAGAAAGUGAAAGCCUUGUAGAUGAAAUUUUGAGUAGCUCUAGGAGAUUCCUGAGUACCACGAGAGACGGCAAACUCUUGUGGGAAGCCGGGGCGACCACGCUCCAAGACUAAAUACUAAUACAUACCGAUAGUGAACAAGUACCGUGAGGGAAAGGUGAAAAGAAGGGUCGAUGACCCAGUGAAAUAGUACCUGAAACCGAUUGCUAACAAACAGUGGGAGGGCCGACGUAAGUCGAGCCUGACCGCGUGCCUAUUGAAGAAUGAGCCGGCGAGUCUUUGCUGGUGGCAAGGUUAAGUCGCUUGAAGCGACGGAGCCAUAGUGAAAGCGAGCCUGAAUAGGGCGAUUAGUUGCCAGCAGAGGACCCGAAGCCGAGCGAUCUAUUCAUGAGCAGGGUGAACCUCGAGUGAUAUCGGGGGGAAGCCCGAACCUGUGUAUGUUGCAAAAUGCUAGGAUGACUUGUGAAUAGAGGUAAUAUGCCAAACGAGCUCGGAGAUAGCUGGUUCUCCCCGAAAUAUAUUUAGGUAUAGCCUUUCCUUAUUUAGGCGCAGGGGUAAAGCACUGGAUGGGCAUUAGGGACUUGUCUCUGAUGCUCAACCAAACUCUGAAUACUGCGUUGAUAACGGAAGGAGUCAGUUGCUGGGGGCUAAGCUCCAGCCGCAAAAGGGAAACAACCCAGAUCUCCAGCUAAGGUCUCUAAAUCACUUGCUUAGUUUGUAAGGAGGUCGUAGUCCUUAGACAGCCAGGAAGUCGGCUUAGAAGCAGCCAUCUUUGAAAGAAAGCGUAACAGCUCACUGGUUGACGGAAGACGGCGCCGAAAAUUUAUCGAGGAUAAAGCAGUGUACCGAAGCUGAGACCCCGACAGCGCAAGCUUGUCGGGGGGUAGGGGAGCGUUCUAAGGGCAGUGAAGGGCCGAUGUAAAUCGCGCCUGGAGCGCUUAGAAGUGAGAAUGCCGGCAUGAGUAGCGGAACUCCGGUGAGAAUCCGGAGGGUCGAAAGUCCGAGGUUUCCUACGCAACGUUCGUCGGCGUAGGGUUAGUCGGGCCUAAGGCAAGCCCCGUGUAGUGCGGGGGUAGUCGAUGGACAACAGGUUAAUAUUCCUGUACCGGUGACCAAUCGUUAUUCCCGACGCAAGUCGGGAUAAACAGCUGGGGUGGGACGGAAUUUGAGAAGUCGAGCGUCUUAUUGAUUUGACGUCUAAAAGGCGAGUCAGUCCCGAUGUGAAAAUCAGUCGGGACGACGGCGAGUCUUGAUGGAGAGUUCUCCUUUGGGAGAGCAAUUCGACCGGCUUAAGUUUCCGAGAAAAGCAUCGCAGCGAGAAGGGUCACCGCCCGUACCGCAAACCGACACAGGUGGACAAGUCGAGUAGACUAAGAUCAGCGGAAGAACGGUGGUUAAGGAACUCGGCAAAUUAGCUGGGAGUAAUUUUGAGAGAUUCCCUGUCCGACGUUACGUCGGACCGCAGCGAAAGAGUGCCAAGCGACUGUUUAACAAAAACACAGGUCUAUGCAAAGGCGCAAGCCUAGGUAUAUGGGCUGAAACCUGCCCAAUGCCGGAAGGUUAAUUGAGAGGGUGACGUCCGACUUCGGUCGUGACCGAGCCUUCGAUCGAAGCCCCGGUGAAUGGCGGCUUUAACUAUAAGAGUCCAAAGGUAGAAUCGCUGCCUUUGUAAAAUUUUGCUAUAUGCUGGAAACUCCGAGAAUCUUGAACUACUGCCUGUUUAUGUGUAAUACUACACAUAAUGGGAAGUAAAAAAGUUACAAGUGCGGACAAUCAGCAGGAAAGGCUAAAAACGAUUGGUUGGAUAGUUGGUUUCACAGAUGGUGAUGGUUGUUUUUGUAUUUCGAUAAACAAAAACCACAGAUUAAAACUUGGUUGGCAAGUGGUUCCUGAGUUUGUAAUAACUCAAGGAGAGAAAAGCCUAGAGAGCUUAAAACUUGUUAAAAAGUUUUUUAAAUGUGGAAGAAUCUUUAUUAAUCGAAGACAUGACAACCAUAAGGAAGACCUUCAUAGAUAUUGCGUGAGAAGUAUAGCUGACUUAGAAGAAAAGAUAAUUCCUUUCUUUGAGAAAAAUCAGUUAAAAACCUACAAAAGAAAAUCAUUUGAGACUUGGAGUAAAGCAGUGAAGUUGAUGAUAAACAAAAGACUUCAUUUA